RNAcentral lists this transfer RNA (69 nucleotides) under Blaberus peruvianus. Its description in RNAcentral is "tRNA-Val". Lineage: Eukaryota; Metazoa; Arthropoda; Insecta; Blattodea; Blaberidae. The record is from RNAcentral.
CAAGCUGAAUCUUAUAGAAGUUAAUUUAUUUACAUUAGAUUAUAUGUCGUGCAAUUCGAUACAGUUUGA